GGGUUGUGAGGUUAAGCGACUAAGCGUACACGGUGGAUGCCCUGGCAGUCAGAGGCGAUGAAGGGCGUGCUAAUCUGCGAUAAGCGCCGGUAAGGUGAUAUGAACCGUUAUAACCGGCGAUACCCGAAUGGGGAAACCCAGUGUGAUUCGUCACACUAUCAUUAACUGAAUCCAUAGGUUAAUGAGGCGAACCGGGGGAACUGAAACAUCUAAGUACCCCGAGGAAAAGAAAUCAACCGAGAUUCCCCCAGUAGCGGCGAGCGAACGGGGAGGAGCCCAGAGCCUGAAUCAGCAUGUGUGUUAGUGGAAGCGUCUGGAAAGGCGCGCGAUACAGGGUGACAGCCCCGUACACAAAAGCGCAUGUGCUGUGAGCUCGAUGAGUAGGGCGGGACACGUGGUAUCCUGUCUGAAUAUGGGGGGACCAUCCUCCAAGGCUAAAUACUCCUGACUGACCGAUAGUGAACCAGUACCGUGAGGGAAAGGCGAAAAGAACCCCGGCGAGGGGAGUGAAAAAGAACCUGAAACCGUGUACGUACAAGCAGUGGGAGCACAGGUUUACCUGUGUGACUGCGUACCUUUUGUAUAAUGGGUCAGCGACUUAUAUUCUGUAGCAAGGUUAACCGAAUAGGGGAGCCGGAGGGAAACCGAGUCUUAAUUGGGCGUUAAGUUGCAGGGUAUAGACCCGAAACCCGGUGAUCUAGCCAUGGGCAGGUUGAAGGUUGGGUAACACUAACUGGAGGACCGAACCGACUAAUGUUGAAAAAUUAGCGGAUGACCUGUGGCUGGGGGUGAAAGGCCAAUCAAACCGGGAGAUAGCUGGUUCUCCCCGAAAGCUAUUUAGGUAGCGCCUCGUGAAUUCAUCUCCGGGGGUAGAGCACUGUUUCGGCUAGGGGGCCAUCCCGGCUUACCAACCCGAUGCAAACUGCGAAUACCGGAGAAUGUUAUCACGGGAGACACACGGCGGGUGCUAACGUCCGUCGUGAAGAGGGAAACAACCCAGACCGCCAGCUAAGGUCCCAAAGUCAUGGUUAAGUGGGAAACGAUGUGGGAAGGCCCAGACAGCCAGGAUGUUGGCUUAGAAGCAGCCAUCAUUUAAAGAAAGCGUAAUAGCUCACUGGUCGAGUCGGCCUGCGCGGAAGAUGUAACGGGGCUAAACCAUGCACCGAAGCUGCGGCAGCGACGCUUAUGCGUUGUUGGGUAGGGGAGCGUUCUGUAAGCCUGUGAAGGUGUGUCGUGAGGCAUGCUGGAGGUAUCAGAAGUGCGAAUGCUGACAUAAGUAACGAUAAAGCGGGUGAAAAGCCCGCUCGCCGGAAGACCAAGGGUUCCUGUCCAACGUUAAUCGGGGCAGGGUGAGUCGACCCCUAAGGCGAGGCCGAAAGGCGUAGUCGAUGGGAAACGGGUUAAUAUUCCCGUACUUGGUGUUACUGCGAAGGGGGGACGGAGAAGGCUAUGUUGGCCGGGCGACGGUUGUCCCGGUUUAAGCGUGUAGGUGUGUGUUCCAGGUAAAUCCGGUU
RNAcentral lists this ribosomal RNA (1514 nucleotides) under Salmonella enterica. Its description in RNAcentral is "partial 23S ribosomal RNA". It matches the Rfam family "Bacterial large subunit ribosomal RNA", at positions 1 to 1547 of the family's 2925-position model. Lineage: Bacteria; Pseudomonadati; Pseudomonadota; Gammaproteobacteria; Enterobacterales; Enterobacteriaceae. RNAcentral also lists the same sequence under 1 other name. The record is from RNAcentral.